This 300-nucleotide ribosomal RNA is filed under the name uncultured bacterium. Its description in RNAcentral is "bacterial SSU rRNA". It matches the Rfam family "Bacterial small subunit ribosomal RNA", at positions 399 to 691 of the family's 1533-position model. The record is from RNAcentral.
GCGUGCGGGAAGAAGGCCUUCGGGUUGUAAACCGCUUUUGUCGGGGAAGAAAUCUCCUGGGCUAAUACCCCGGGAGGAUGACGGUACUCGAAGAAUAAGCACCGGCUAACUACGUGCCAGCAGCCGCGGUAAUACGUAGGGUGCAAGCGUUAAUCGGAAUUACUGGGCGUAAAGCGUGCGCAGGCGGUGAUGCAAGACAGAUGUGAAAUCCCCGGGCUUAACCUGGGAACUGCAUUUGUGACUGCAUCGCUGGAGUGCGGCAGAGGGGGAUGGAAUUCCGCGUGUAGCAGUGAAAUGCGU